This 531-nucleotide ribosomal RNA is filed under the name uncultured Actinomycetes bacterium. RNAcentral's name for it is "bacterial SSU rRNA". It matches the Rfam family "Bacterial small subunit ribosomal RNA", at positions 72 to 616 of the family's 1533-position model. Lineage: Bacteria; Bacillati; Actinomycetota; Actinomycetes. The record is from RNAcentral.
GCUGGAGCUUGCUCCGGCGGAUUAGUGGCGAACGGGUGAGUAACACGUGAGCAAUCUGCCCUUGACUCUGGGAUAACUGCGGGAAACUGUAGCUAAUACCGGAUACUUUCCUCGGUGGGCAUCCACUGAGGAAGAAAGAAUUUCGGUCAAGGAUGAGCUCGCGACCUAUCAGCUAGUUGGUGAGGUAAAGGCUCACCAAGGCGACGACGGGUAGCCGGCCUGAGAGGGUGACCGGCCACACUGGGACUGAGACACGGCCCAGACUCCUACGGGAGGCAGCAGUGGGGAAUAUUGCACAAUGGACGAAAGUCUGAUGCAGCAACGCCGCGUGAGGGACGAAGGCCUUCGGGUUGUAAACCUCUUUUAGCAGGGAAGAAGCGAAAGUGACGGUACCUGCAGAAAAAGCACCGGCUAACUACGUGCCAGCAGCCGCGGUAAUACGUAGGGUGCAAGCGUUGUCCGGAAUUAUUGGGCGUAAAGAGCUCGUAGGCGGUUUGUCGCGUCUGCUGUGAAAUUUCGAGGCUCAACCUC